RNAcentral lists this ribosomal RNA (251 nucleotides) under Pelobates cultripes (western spadefoot toad). RNAcentral's name for it is "SSU_rRNA_microsporidia". It matches the Rfam family "Eukaryotic small subunit ribosomal RNA", at positions 222 to 473 of the family's 1831-position model. Lineage: Eukaryota; Metazoa; Chordata; Amphibia; Anura; Pelobatidae. The record is from RNAcentral.
UUAUAGUUGCGCAGGCACUUUGGUGACUCUGGAGAACCUCGGGCCAAUCGCACAUCCCCGUGACGGCGACAACGCCUUCGGAUGUCUGCCCUAUCAACUUUCGAUGGACUUUCUGCGCCUACCAUGGUGACCAUGAGUAAUAGGGAACCAGGGUUCGAUUCCGGAGAGGGAGCCUGAGAAACGACUACCACAUCCAAGGAAGGCAGCAGGCGCGCAAAUUACCCAUUCCCGACGCGGGGAGGUAGUGAUGA